RNAcentral lists this ribosomal RNA (421 nucleotides) under uncultured eukaryote. RNAcentral's name for it is "bacterial SSU rRNA". It matches the Rfam family "Eukaryotic small subunit ribosomal RNA", at positions 592 to 1018 of the family's 1831-position model. The record is from RNAcentral.
CAAUAGCGUAUAUUAAAGUUGUUGCGGUUAAAAAGCUCGUAGUUGGAUUUCUGUCUGACCGUCCGGUCCACACCUCGUGUGUGAGAAUCUGGAGGCGUCGGGCAUCUUCCUGAGGAACGUGACUCCUAUUAAUUUAGUGGUCUCGGAACUCUGGACUUUUACUUUGAGGAAAUUAGAGUGUUCCAGGCAUGCGUUUGCAUUGAAUACAUUAGCAUGGAAUAAUGAGAUAGGACUUGUGCUCUAUUUGUUGGUUUGUAGUGCGCAAGUAAUGAUUAAUAGGGACAGUUGGGGGCAUUCAUAUUCCGAUGUCAGAGGUGAAAUUCUUGGAUUAUCGGAAGAUGAACUUCUGCGAAAGCAUCUGCCAAGGAUGUUUUCAUUGAUCAAGAACGAAAGUUAGGGAUCGAAGACGAUCAGAUACCGU